RNAcentral lists this ribosomal RNA (274 nucleotides) under uncultured bacterium. Its description in RNAcentral is "partial 16S ribosomal RNA". It matches the Rfam family "Bacterial small subunit ribosomal RNA", at positions 523 to 796 of the family's 1533-position model. The record is from RNAcentral.
AUACGGAGGGUGCAAGCGUUAUUCGGAAUCACUGGGCGUAAAGGACGCGUAGGCGGGUUGGCAAGUCAGAUGUGAAAUCCUACAGCUUAACUGUAGAACUGCAUUUGAAACUGCUAACCUAGAGUAUGGGAGGGGGAGAUGGAAUUAGUGGUGUAGGGGGAAAAUCCGUAGAUAUCACUAGGAAUACCGAAAGCGAAGGCGAUCUCCUGGAACAUAACUGACGCUAAGGCGUGAAAGCGUGGGGAGCAAACAGGAUUAGAUACCCUAGUAGUCC